UACGGAGGGUGCGAGCGUUGUUCGGAAUUACUGGGCGUAAAGCGCGUGUAGGCGGCCGAUUAAGUCUGGUGUGAAAGCCCGGGGCUCACCCCCGGAAGUGCGCUGGAAACUGGUCGGCUAGAGUAUGGGAGAGGAAAGUGGAAUUCCCGGUGUAGCGGUGAAAUUCGUAGAUAUUGGGAAGAACACCAGUGGCGAAGGCGGCUCACUGGUCCGCAACUGACGCUGAGGCGCGAAAGCGUGGGGAGCAAACAGG
RNAcentral lists this ribosomal RNA (253 nucleotides) under uncultured bacterium. Its description in RNAcentral is "partial 16S ribosomal RNA". It matches the Rfam family "Bacterial small subunit ribosomal RNA", at positions 524 to 776 of the family's 1533-position model. The record is from RNAcentral.